ACAUAGAAGUAAAAUUUACAUUUAGUUUCGACCUAAAAAUAGGGUAACCCAUGUU
Molecule: transfer RNA, 55 nt
Filed under: Empoascanara angkhangica
Lineage: Eukaryota; Metazoa; Arthropoda; Insecta; Hemiptera; Cicadellidae
Description: tRNA-Arg
Source: RNAcentral